Molecule: ribosomal RNA, 223 nt
Filed under: uncultured bacterium
Lineage: Bacteria
Description: partial 16S ribosomal RNA
Rfam family: Bacterial small subunit ribosomal RNA
Source: RNAcentral
UACGUAGGGUGCGACGUUGUCCGGAAUUAUUGGGUACGUAAAGAGCUUGUAGGCGGUUUGUUACGCGUCUGUCCGUGAAAUUUCGGGGCUCAACCCCGAACUUGCGGUGGGUUACGGGCAGACUAGAGAUUUGCGGUAGGGGAGACUGGAAUUCCAUGGUGUAGCGGUGAAAUGCGCAGAAUAUCAGGAGGAACACCGAUGGCGGAAGGCAGGUCUCAUGGGG